Labrus mixtus (cuckoo wrasse) is the source of this 1922-nucleotide long non-coding RNA. RefSeq lists it as uncharacterized. Lineage: Eukaryota; Metazoa; Chordata; Actinopteri; Labriformes; Labridae. The transcript is spliced from 3 exons. The record is from RefSeq and is a predicted model, not a curated record.
UAAAGAAGCAAACUGCUAUUUUUAAGACAUUUAUCUUGACUCACGAUCUUCACACAUUAAACUUCCUCGGUGCACUUCUUCUUCUUUUGAAACACGUCACUGCCAAGAAUGCAUCGGGGGGACUGCACGCAGUGUGAGCUUCAGAUCCAUUAUGAGCAUUUCAAUGAUUGUGGCAUACUGUAUGAGUGUUUGGGAUAAAUAUAUAAGAUUGUGAUUCAUAGUAGAUGGUAUAACCUCAUCACAUAAACAAAAGAAACUGGAUAAUGCCACCUUGGGAAUUUCACCCGAGGAGUUAGAUUGGACUGUACCACAAACAGACACUCAGGUUUGUUAUACUGAGGAGAGUGAGACAUGCUUCCAGUUUUCAAAGGUAAAAUGAACCCAUCUCACCACCGGUUGAUGAGGGCCGAUAUAAUCAAGGUGAAGGUGAACUUUAUUAUCCCAGAGGGGGAUUUCCUUUACAGCCAGCAGUGGGUAAAAGAAGAAAGUUAACUUAAAUGCAAACACCUCAAGGGAGGGAUUCACAUGAUGCUGUUGAGGAGAUCAAUGGUACAAGGGACAAGGAGGACUUUUUUAAUUUGUUCGUCCUGCACCUAGGCAGAGUUUAUCUGCAACCAGCACCUUGUAUUCAAGGCCGCCCAGAAGGGGGGGGGGGAAGGAGAAAGCUUUCCAAAUGUUCUGAACCAUCACACUGAGCCUCUGACAGAAACAAACAAAGCUUUAACUUUAAAUGACUUCUCAACACUCAACCCACAACCAUGCAGACUUUCCACUUCACUGAGAUGUUUUAAAGUGUUUUUUUUUUUUUAAUCUUUAACUCUAUAGUUUUGAUAAUAACUUACUAAGUAGUUGAUGCAGUUACUGCUUCUUUCAGACCAAUCAGAGCUCUCAGCUUGGCCUUGAGUUAGCUGUUUGAUUUUAUCUCUUGUUGUGUUUUUGCAUUUGUGUCUUCAGUGAACGAAGAACCAGAAGAAGAAACUCUUUGACCACACCGGGCCAUCAUAGUGCCUAUCAGCCUAUUGGUGUUGAAAUCUAUAUAAAUGGGUGUGCCCCCCCCCCCCCCUCCUUUGUUAAAAAAUGAUCACCUGAAGAAGACAUCAGGGAGGAAUGUUGUGAUUUUGAUGGAAUAAAAUCAAAAUCUGUGAAGUCAUUUAAAUAUGAAAUAUUAACUUUGCCCACCUCUGGUUCCUGUUCAUCAGAUUGUACAGGUUCUUCUGAUCUGGACUUGGUCAUGUUGGCUCUGCGUGUGGCUGAACUCCUCCUGAUUACUGUGAUCACUGUUCUUCUCUUCAGAGCUCGAGGGAACCAGAGACCACCUGAUGACAUCACUGUGCUUGAUGAUGGAGAUGAAGGCUCAGUGAACUAUGAAAAUGAUGGAGAACCUUCUGCUUCUGUCAGACUCCACUGAUCAACAACUUCCACACAAACAUCCACUCAGCAGAUACAUUAAUCCACCGCUUUUUAUCAUUUCUAUAUCGUACUUUUGAGCAUAAAAACAUGGAUCCACAUUUCAUUUGAGGUACUAAGUGAGGAUUUAAUAAAUGUACUGAAAUAUGAAGUUGAUAUUUGUUACGGCGUCCUUAACCAAAAUUAUUAAACCAAGGCUCAAAACUCAGAGACCGAAAACAUACAAGGACGCCACAAAGAUUUAAAGUUCAACCCAAGCUUUAUUUAAUGUAAAUACCACCCUCCCCCCAAAGUAAUCAAAGAUAAAUAAGAAACUAAAGAAACAAAAGGGGCUGGAGACCCCGACAAAAAAAAAAAAAAGAUGGGAAGAUGCUGAGCCAACCACGUAAUGUGUCGUCAUUAUGGCACCUCCCCCUAAAACUACCUAAGAAGAAAAGAUUAAACUAAAGAAACCAAAAGACCCAAAAUAGGACUAACAGUGAUCUCCAGUCCAAACUCAAAUAAUAAAACCAAAC